ACGCCGUAUAGGUGAGUCUGAUCAUAAAAAGAAUAUUAAACUAUCAGGAACUGCUGCAAGAGAAAAAAUGGGCUCAAAACAAAACCCCCCAAGAGAUCAAGACUUUCAUCGUAAAGCAAACCCAAAAAGAACCUCCAUGUCAACCCAUUGCCGGCCACAUUUCUUCAAAUACGCGUCCACAACCCCCUUUAAGGUCCCAAAACGUGACCGGUUCCACUCGACCAUCGCGAUAACCUUGUCCCGCUUCUCUGUAUUAGUUUCCUUUGCAGCAGCCUCUUUUGCCUUGUCUACAUCCCAC
This 298-nucleotide small RNA is filed under the name Histoplasma capsulatum var. duboisii H88. Its description in RNAcentral is "Histoplasma capsulatum H88 hypothetical RNA". Lineage: Eukaryota; Fungi; Ascomycota; Eurotiomycetes; Onygenales; Ajellomycetaceae. The record is from RNAcentral.